AAAAUUCAAUAGUAGUACAUGCUUCAAAGAUAAUAGUUGUUAGAAAAUUAUAGUAUAAUUUUGAAUGAUUUUGUCUAGAUAUAUUAUUAAAUUUCUAUUGUCUGAAUAAGCAAUCUGAUACUGGUAAUUAAAUUACUUUUAAAUAGGCAGUCUAUAGACUUUGUAGAUUUUACUGUAAUAAUUCUAGACAUUAAUAAUAUCAUUUUGGUGUGUAUUACCAUGUCUUGAUCAAUCAUUCCGAUAGCCAAUCAUCCCAAAAAAAAAAAAAAAGAAACAGUCCCAAAACCCUGAUCUCUGUAUAGAAUAUGAUUUCUUAAAAAUUAAAUCCAAAAGAAACAAUUGUAGUAAUAGUAUUAGAUUGGGUAAAUGAUCACCUACAUUAUUGGCACAAAAAGUUCUUUAAAUUGAGACAGUAUCAUAGAUAAAUAUAAUUUAUUGUAUACUGUAUUCAUUGUGUUAUACAGAAGUCUCAUUUUUGUAUCUUUAAAAAUAUUUAUUACCUGUGAUGUCUUUCGUCUAGUGUUAAAAGAGUAUAUUUAUUUUGAAGAUAUAAAGUAAAAUAAAUUAUGAUUUUAAAGCCAGCAGGACUAUUUCACGCGACUACAAACAACUCCACAUUAAGAGGCAUAGUGUAUAAGGCCCAAUAAAAAUAAUGAUUUAGGUUAUCACUCCUGUCUGCAUGUCUUCUAUGGUAUUGGAAAAAAUAUCAUUUUGAAAAAAAAAAAUUGGGGUUUUUAAAAAAUAUUUUUAGUAAAUAAUUAGUACUGUAGAUAUUGUUUGUACUAUAUCAUCUCAAUCAUGUAUUUUAGUUUAACAUCAAUGCACCAGCAAGCAACCCAAGAGUGGUGAUACUUGGCUGAAUUUGGUGAUAUUUGGCUAAAUUAGCAAAUAAAAAAAAGGCUCCCUUUCUCAUCACUUUUCCAGCCUAGAUAGGGUGAUAAACUAACAAUUUUUUGUAUUGGGUCUAAAGCAUUAUCUACAGUAUCCUGUAAUUGCUAAUUUACUACAUUACAGCAAUUAAACUACAUAAUGCUAUUUAUUUAAAUAAAACAUUUUGCAAA
Molecule: long non-coding RNA, 1061 nt
Organism: Anneissia japonica
Lineage: Eukaryota; Metazoa; Echinodermata; Crinoidea; Comatulida; Comatulidae
Exons: 2
Source: RefSeq, a predicted model, not a curated record